RNAcentral lists this transfer RNA (45 nucleotides) under Galium parishii. Its description in RNAcentral is "partial tRNA-Cys". It matches the Rfam family "tRNA", at positions 1 to 45 of the family's 71-position model. Rfam says of the family: Transfer RNA (tRNA) molecules are approximately 80 nucleotides in length. Their secondary structure includes four short double-helical elements and three loops (D, anti-codon, and T loops). Lineage: Eukaryota; Viridiplantae; Streptophyta; Magnoliopsida; Gentianales; Rubiaceae. The record is from RNAcentral. RNAcentral also lists the same sequence under 1 other name.
GGCGGCAUGGCCGAGUGGUAAGGCGGGGGACUGCCAAUCCUUUUU